RNAcentral lists this long non-coding RNA (674 nucleotides) under Elaeis guineensis (African oil palm). Its description in RNAcentral is "long non-coding RNA (EGUI_LNC078082)". Lineage: Eukaryota; Viridiplantae; Streptophyta; Magnoliopsida; Arecales; Arecaceae. The record is from RNAcentral.
UUGAGUUGUGUGUUUUGAUUUGAAUCAGAUUUAUUAUUAUACAAAUAUUUGAAUAUUUGACAAGAUUUGAUUUGCAUUGAAUUAGCGUGGAAUAUAUUAUUAUGCUAUUCAUGGCAUUUAUUUAAAAACAUCAUAUCUAUGAUAAUAUCUGAAAUAUCUAGUUGAGAUAUUCAUUACUUACUGGGCUGUCGAGCUCAUUACCCGUCUUUUUAUCUUUUUUUCAGAUUUAGCUAAUUAAUUAUAAGCAUGGACAAUAAUUUUGGGAGAGAUUUUAGAAGCAAGAUUUGGCAUUGUCAACUUCGUUGAACUUAGAUUUAUUUUUAUAUUAAUUUUAGUGAAACUUUAUUUGAUGUAAAAUAUUUGAUUUAAUUAUUUGAAUUAAAGUUAAAUAAUAAUUAUUUGAAUUUCAAUUCCGCUGUGAUGCAUUGAUAUCGUCUUUAAGAUGCCUUGCAUGCUUGUAGAGAGAAUUUUCUAUAAGUAUGCGGACGGUUGCCAUGACCUUCGGCUCGCAAUCUCGGAUCGGAAGCGUGACAAUUAAUAUGGCAUCAGAACAUAAAUGGAUAAACUAUGAUACAUAGAAUCAGACAUAUGAGUGUAGGCAGAUAGACAUUAGUGACAUUGAGACGAUAGCUUAUAUUGAUUUUGAUAACUUAGAAACUUAGAUUUGACACAAG